GGAUCGAUGAUGAGUCCUACAAAAAAAAAAAAAAAAAAAACAUUCCUUGGAAAAGCUGAACAAAAUGAGUGAAAACUCAUACCGUCGCUCUCAUCGGAACUGAGGUCC
Molecule: small nucleolar RNA, 108 nt
Filed under: Callithrix jacchus (white-tufted-ear marmoset)
Lineage: Eukaryota; Metazoa; Chordata; Mammalia; Primates; Cebidae
Description: Small nucleolar RNA SNORD116 (ENSCJAG00000082156.1)
Rfam family: Small nucleolar RNA SNORD116
About the family: HBII-85 is a member of the C/D class of snoRNAs, which contain the C (UGAUGA) and D (CUGA) box motifs. HBII-85 is encoded in a tandemly repeated array with another C/D snoRNA, HBII-52, in the Prader-Willi syndrome (PWS) region of chromosome 15. Unlike most other snoRNAs, HBII-85 is expressed prevalently in the brain (but is absent in PWS patients) and lacks any significant complementarity with ribosomal RNA.
Source: Rfam by way of RNAcentral